RNAcentral lists this unclassified non-coding RNA (214 nucleotides) under Glomus sp. RNAcentral describes it as "partial internal transcribed spacer 2". The stretch from base 1 to 65 matches the Rfam family "5.8S ribosomal RNA", at positions 84 to 154 of the family's 154-position model. The record is from RNAcentral. Lineage: Eukaryota; Fungi; Glomeromycota; Glomeromycetes; Glomerales; Glomeraceae.
GUGAAUCAUCGAAUUUUUGAACGCACAUUGCACUCUCUUCUGAGAGUAUGCGUGUUCGAGUGUCAGCCUAAAAAAAAUCGACGUAGUCGCUGUUUCGCGGUGACAUUCGUCGGAAAUUGGGACAUCUUACAUCUUUGGGUUUUUUAAGCGGCUUAAACUUUUCUUUACGCUUACACGACCGUUUCUUAGAUUUUACUUAUUACACACGUUUAAG